This 1104-nucleotide ribosomal RNA is filed under the name uncultured bacterium. Its description in RNAcentral is "bacterial SSU rRNA". It matches the Rfam family "Bacterial small subunit ribosomal RNA", at positions 1 to 1096 of the family's 1533-position model. The record is from RNAcentral.
GGAUCGCGCGGAUCUUCAGAGAUUAGAGUUUGAUCAUGGCUCAGGACGAACGCUGGCGGCGUGCCUAACACAUGCAAGUCAACUUGACUGAAGGAGCAAUCUGACAGUAGAGUGGCGCAAGGGUGCGUAACGCGUAAGUAACUUGCCCCAAGGUAAGGAAUAACGUCGAGAAAUCGGCGCUAAUACCUCAUAAUGCAGCGGAUCCGCAUGGAUAUGUUGUUAAAGGUUUACCGCCUUGGGAUAGGCUUGCGUCUGAUUAGCUAGUUGGUGUGGUAACGGCACACCAAGGCUACGAUCAGUAACUGGUCUGAGAGGAUGAUCAGUCACACUGGAACUGAGACACGGUCCAGACUCCUACGGGAGGCAGCAGUGAGGAAUAUUGGGCAAUGCUCGAAAGAGUGACCCAGCAACGCCGCGUGGAGGAUGAAGGUAUUCUAUAUCGUAAACUCCUGUGAGAGCAGACGAAAGACAGAUUAUUAAUCUGGAUGACUGUAUGCUCAGAGGAAGCCCCGGCUAACUACGUGCCAGCAGCCGCGGUAAUACGUAGGGGGCAAGCGCUGUCCGGAUUCACUGGGUGUAAAGGGCGCGUAGGCGGGAUAGCAAGUCAGUGGUGAAAUCUUGCAGCUCAACUGCAAAACUGCCAUUGAUACUGCUGUUCUUGAAUGUGGAAGAGAGAGGCGGAAUUCCAGGUGUAGUAGUGAAAUACGUAGAUAUCUGGAAGAACACCAAUUGCGAAGGCUGCUUCUUGGUCCAUUAUUGACGCUGAGGCGCGAAAGCGUGGGGAGCAAACAGGAUUAGAUACCCUGGUAGUCCACGCUGUAAACGAUGAGUGCUAGAUGCCGGAUUUUUUCGGUGUCGCAGCUAACGCAUUAAGCACUCCACCUGGGAAGUACGAUCGCAAGGUUGAAACUCAAAGGAAUUGACGGGGGCCCGCACAAGCAGUGAGCAUGUGGUUUAAUUCGAUGCAACGCGAAGAACCUUACCUAGGCUUGAAAAGCUUAUGACCGGCUGUGAAAGCAGCUUUCCCGCAAGGGCAUAAGUACAGGUGCUGCAUGGCUGUCGUCAGCUCGUGCCGUGAGGUGUUGGGUUAAGUCCCGCAACGAA